This is a long non-coding RNA of Phyllostomus hastatus (greater spear-nosed bat), 2208 nucleotides long. RefSeq lists it as uncharacterized. The record is from RefSeq and is a predicted model, not a curated record. NCBI's taxonomy places the organism in Eukaryota, Metazoa, Chordata, Mammalia, Chiroptera, Phyllostomidae. The transcript has 5 exons.
GUCAAGCAAGGCAGCCCGGGCUGUCCUGCAGACAGGAAAGGAUAGGAAAGGCGUGACAACUCUGCACCCAGCUGUGACACACUGUCUCCUUCAAUUCCCUGUACCCUGUGAAAUGGACAUUCUUGUCCCCACUUUACAGAUGUGACUACUGCAGCUCAGAAAGGGAACAUGGCCCAAAGUUACCUGGCUUGUAAGUGAUAUGCUGGGAUUUGAACCCUAGGUCUGUUUGAAUCGAAGACCCACAGAGAAGCCUGAACUUCCAGGAGACACACUAUAUACCAUGGCUGGAUUCCCUGCCCAGGAAGAAGCCAGGCAGGGCCUGCAAGACGGAAAGGGCAUGCCCCCAGGCUCUGUUUCCCAGGCAUGUAGCUGGAUCCGUAAUGACCAACAUUAAACUGUCAGAACCAAGGUUUUCUUCCAAGAGGAGCUGAUAAACUCGGUGGCCUUUAGAAAUCAGUCAUGUGACAACUUGGCUGCUUCUUGGUCAGAAAAAAAGACGAGGACAGAAGAAGAGCCAACACACAUCCUUUGUUCUGAGGUCAACAUUCAGUGUUUUGGGAGAGGAUCAGAUGUUUCUAGACCUGGGAAUGAACUUCUUUAGGACUGAUGUUGAAGAGAACAGUUACUCCGGCCCAACAAUAGCCAGCACUGUGAACUCCUUAGGAAGCAGGCUCACCUCUCACACGGACAAACCGCCACACUAACAAAGAGCAAGGAAGAAGGAUGGUGGUCAGAGAAGCUACCAUUUCCUGAGUGCCCACUCAUGGCCCAGAGCUCCACACUCUUCAUGUCAUUUAGUGGACUACCCCCCAAGGAACAUGGUGACCCUGACGUGGAGAAAAAGAAAUUUUUGUUGGCCUACUGGUUAAUAGGUGACAGAUAUAUUUGUAUGCAUGUAUGCAUGUAUUUAUAAUCAACAAUUAAGUAUUUACCGAACACUUCCAGAGGCUAGCUGCUAAAGUUGUAUAAGCCACAGUCUAUGCCCUGGAGAAGGUGAAUGAUAUAAAGAAACACACCCAAAGUUAAAUAACCACAUGAAAAUGACACAAUAGUAACCAAGAGGAUUUUAGAGGUGGCUGGAUCCACAGCAAACAUUUAAUCUAGAGUUUCCUAAAAGGGUAUGUAUGCAUCAUUGGUGGUAUGCAAGUUGUUAUAUUUGGGUGGUAUACAAAUACUUUAAAAUUUCAUUAAGUAUUUAUUUUAACGUGUUAGAAAAAUGUAUAACUACUGUAUCAAACUCUUGGGUAUAUGGAUAGUUCAUCUUACUGCAAAGUUACAUAGAUACGUGAGUUGCUUUAAAGAUGAUGUAAUGAAAAAUAUCAAGUAAGUAGCCACGUUCAGCAUUGUGAUUCCGGCAUGUGGUAAUGAUUCUGUCAUUUGAAUGUGUUAUUUGAAUGUUCUGAGUUUGGGAAAUGCAGAUCGAGUCCAGUCUCUGGGAUGCAGAGAGCUUAAAUGAGUUGUCCACACUCAAGAAGCCAGUAGAGACCAUAGAUGAGAAACUGGUCACCUGACUGGCCCUCUCCCCCACAGCCUCGGCCACUACUUCCUGUUUUACAGAUGAGGAAACUGCAGCCCUGAAUAACAAGUCUCCUGUGUGAGUGCAAAGACUCACAUGAGAAUCUACUAGCAGAGUAAAAAGAUAAAGUGUGUCUCAUGAAAAGUCAAAGUUAAUAUUUAUAGAGUGUUUACUAUGCAUGCCAGUAUUGUGAAAAUUUCACACACUCUAAUUUAUGUUAAUUCCCAAGCCACUCUGUGAGAUGUACAUAGCUAUUUCUGGCGUUCCUCUGUUCAUGAGGAAAUUAGCAAAGAUCAAAUAACUGUCUGAAGAUUGUAACUUGCAGGUUUGGGGCCUGAACCCAGGUAGUUCAGUUUCAGAAUUUGUUCCCUUAACCACUGUACACACAGCUCACCAAUAAGUGAAGAGGUGAAAGAGGCAACCCGUCUCUCUGGUGAAACUGGAAACAGUCUGCUCAGGCGACAUAUUGUUGCCCUGUGCCCUCCUGCUUCAAGUUCCCCAGUUAGUCCCUUGUCUAUUUCACAGGAGACAUCGUUUCUUUAAACCAUCACUUUUUAAUGUGCAGAAGCUCCUGAGAGGGAUCAGUGAUUUCCGAAAGCUACACUCCCAUAAGGAAAACUCGUUAGAUUACUGUGAUGAGAAACGGGGGAACGGUUUUCAGGAACAACUGUAAAGGACACAUGGACAAAACC